This is a long non-coding RNA of Aricia agestis (brown argus), 90 nucleotides long. RefSeq lists it as uncharacterized. The record is from RefSeq and is a predicted model, not a curated record. The transcript has 3 exons. Lineage: Eukaryota; Metazoa; Arthropoda; Insecta; Lepidoptera; Lycaenidae.
ACGUCGUCGUUUAUAAUAAUAAGAGCCCCCGCAGAAUACAGACUUUUAGUCGGCCAAUAGUUUGUCCAAAUUGGGGGUUCAGUGCAUUAU